GUGAAUCAUCAAAUCUUUGAACGCAAAUUGCACUCCCUGGUAUUCAGGGGAGUAUGCCUGUUUGAGGGUCGUUAGAACAAAAAUCGAAGCGUCGCUCUUUUUUUAAGGGUGAUCGCGUCGGAAUUGAGGCGUCUUUCAAAUGUUAUUUCAUGUCAAAGUGGCUUAAAAUUCAUCCAUCCGGUACGAUUAAAUCGUAUUUAAUAUCAAUUUUGAUUAAGAACGCGCGAUGAACGUACCAUCUCAUUUAGUACGUUUGACUUGACGUCGUCAGGAUCAUUUCGUAUACGAUUCGCAACUUUUG
RNAcentral lists this unclassified non-coding RNA (301 nucleotides) under Funneliformis mosseae. RNAcentral describes it as "partial contains 5.8S ribosomal RNA and internal transcribed spacer 2". The stretch from base 1 to 71 matches the Rfam family "5.8S ribosomal RNA", at positions 84 to 154 of the family's 154-position model. Lineage: Eukaryota; Fungi; Glomeromycota; Glomeromycetes; Glomerales; Glomeraceae. The record is from RNAcentral.